Molecule: ribosomal RNA, 253 nt
Filed under: uncultured bacterium
Lineage: Bacteria
Description: partial 16S ribosomal RNA
Rfam family: Bacterial small subunit ribosomal RNA
Source: RNAcentral
UACAGAGGGUGCGAACGUUGCUCGGAAUUACUGGGCGUAAAGCGCGUGUAGGCGGGGUCGCAAGUCAGAUGUGAAAUCCCCGGGCUCAACCCGGGAACUGCACCUGAAACUGCGAUCCUUGAGUACUGGAGAGGGUGGCGGAAUUCCUGGUGUAGAGGUGAAAUUCGUAGAUAUCAGGAGGAGCACCGGUGGCGAAGGCGGCCACCUGGACAGUUACUGACGCUGAGACGCGAAAGCGUGGGGAGCAAACAGG